UACGUAGGGAGCAAGCGUUGUCCGGAAUCAUUGGGCGUAAAGCGCGCGUAGGUGGCUUCGUAAGUCCGUUGUGAAAGUCAAAGGCUCAACCUUUGAAAGCCGAUGGAUACUGUGAAGCUAGAGUACGGAAGAGGCGAGUGGAAUUCCUGGUGUAGCGGUGGAAUGCGCAGAUAUCAGGAGGAACACCAAUAGCGAAGGCAGCUCGCUGGGACGUUACCGACACUGAGGCGCGAAAGCGUGGGGAGCGAACAGG
This 253-nucleotide ribosomal RNA is filed under the name uncultured bacterium. RNAcentral describes it as "partial 16S ribosomal RNA". It matches the Rfam family "Bacterial small subunit ribosomal RNA", at positions 524 to 776 of the family's 1533-position model. The record is from RNAcentral.